RNAcentral lists this long non-coding RNA (367 nucleotides) under Olea europaea (common olive). RNAcentral describes it as "long non-coding RNA (OEUR_LNC011270)". Lineage: Eukaryota; Viridiplantae; Streptophyta; Magnoliopsida; Lamiales; Oleaceae. The record is from RNAcentral.
CACUGAUCGAUCCCCAUAAAAGCUGCACAAGAGGGCAUGAAAUUUCAUUAAAAGAAAAUCAGGAAAUAACAAAUCACACCAUAAAAUUUCAAAAAAGAAAAAGAAAAAAAAAAAGGGAUCAAGGAGUGACUUACCGAGAAACCAAAAAUCGCUGAUUGCAAGUUCAAGUAAAAUUAAUUUCACUGUGUGUACACUUGAAAAUAUGUGUAUUCGAAAAAUGGAAUGGAAAUAUCGAAGAAUUAUGUGCAACUUCGAGAGAGAGAGGUUGCCUCAUCGAGACUGAUGAGUGAGCAAAAUGACGCUCUUUUCUAUUUAUCAUUUUUCUUAGUCGUGGUGGUCUGAUGGGAUUCCAAGUGACAAAUCUUUU